GUGUGGAAAGAGGAGCAUGUUCGUGGAGCUCGACGAAUCGGUGAGUGGUAAUGUUUCUUUUGGUGAUGAAUCCAAAAUACCAGUGAAAGGCAAAGGUAAUAUCCUAAUCUGCUUGAAGAAUGGAAAUCACCAAUUUAUCUCAAAUGUUUACUAUGUGCCCAACAUGAAAAAUAAUAUAUUGAGUUUGGGGCAACUCUAGAGAAGGGCUAUGACAUUCACAUGAAAGAUCAUAAUCUUUCCAUAAGAGAUAAUAAAAAUAAUUUAAUCACUAAAGUGCCUAUGUCCAAAAAUAGAAUGUUCUUGUUGAACAUUCAAAAUGAUGUUGCAAAGUGUCUUAAAGCUUGCUACAAAGAUGUAUCUUGGCUUCAUUCAAAAUGAUGUUGCAAAGUGUCUUAAAGCUUGUUACAAAGAUGUAUCUUGGCUUUGGCAUCUUCGAUUUGGGCACUUUAAUUUUGGAGGCUUGGAGCUACUAUCCAAAAAGGACAUGGUGCGAGGACUACCUUCCAUUAGCCACCCUGAUCAAUUGUGCGAAGGAUUCCUACUCGGAAAGCAAUUUUGGAAGAGUUUUCCUAAGGAGUCAAGCUCGAGAGCCCAAAAGCCAUUGGAGCUCAUACAUACCAACAUAUGUGGUCCUAUCAAGCCAAGCUCCCUCGGUAAAAGUAACUAUUUCCUUCUAUUUAUUGAUGAUUUUUCUAGAAAGACAUGGGUGUAUUUCUUGAAGCAAAAAUCGGAGGCAUUUGAAGUAUUCAAGAAAUUCAAAGCGGCAGUGGAGAAAGAAAGUGGACUACACAUAAAGGCCAUGAGAUUCGAUCGUGGAGGCGAGUUCACUUCUAGAGAGUUCCAGAAUUUU
Molecule: long non-coding RNA, 850 nt
Filed under: Nicotiana benthamiana
Lineage: Eukaryota; Viridiplantae; Streptophyta; Magnoliopsida; Solanales; Solanaceae
Description: long non-coding RNA (NBEN_LNC015348)
Source: RNAcentral